CAGAUACAGGUUUGGGAGAUUCAGUCUGUUCAAGCCCCAGCAUAUCCAGCACCACAAGCCCCAAGCUCGAUCCUCCGCCUUCCCCGCAUGCCAAUAGGAAAAAACACAGACGGAAGAAAAGUACCAGCAAUUUCAAAGCAGAUGGACUCUCGGGCACCGCUGAAGUUACAUUCUACAGCAAAGCUUAUCGGAGGCAAGCAGGAAGGACCAGAAAGUUGUGAGGUCAAACUGGGGGUCUGCCAUUCACCUCCCUCACAAGGAGAAUCCUUUCUUUGUUUCGCCUGUUUCAUCUCGAAUGUUGCUAUAGUUCCUGGCCCUGCCUGUAUCCUAGAGAAAUUGUAAAAAUAAAAUGUGGCCACAUCCUUAAA
Vombatus ursinus (common wombat) is the source of this 368-nucleotide long non-coding RNA. RefSeq lists it as uncharacterized. Lineage: Eukaryota; Metazoa; Chordata; Mammalia; Diprotodontia; Vombatidae. The transcript is spliced from 2 exons. The record is from RefSeq and is a predicted model, not a curated record.